Callithrix jacchus (white-tufted-ear marmoset) is the source of this 96-nucleotide Y RNA. It matches the Rfam family "Y RNA". From Rfam's summary of the family: Y RNAs are components of the Ro ribonucleoprotein particle (Ro RNP), in association with Ro60 and La proteins. The Y RNAs and Ro60 and La proteins are well conserved, but the function of the Ro RNP is not known. NCBI's taxonomy places the organism in Eukaryota, Metazoa, Chordata, Mammalia, Primates, Cebidae. The record is from Ensembl.
GGCUGGUCCGAUGGUAGUGGGUUAUCAGAACUUAUUAACAUUAGUGUCACUAAAGUUGGUAUACAACCCCCCACUGCUAAAUUUGACUGGCCUUAA